GAUGAAGAACGCAGCAAAAUGCGAUAAGUAAUGUGAAUUGCAGAAUUCAGUGAAUCAUCGAAUCUUUGAACGCACAUUGCGCCCGCCAGUAUUCUGGCGGGCAUGCCUGUUCGAGCGUCAUUUCAACCCUCAAGCACAGCUUGGUGUUGGGACUCGCGUUAAUUCGCGUUCCUCAAAUUGAUUGGCGGUCACGUCGAGCUUCCAUAGCGUAGUAGUAAAACCCUCGUUACAGGUAAUCGUCGCGGCCACGCCGUUAAACCCCAACUUCUGAAUGUUGACCUCGGAUCAGGUAGGAAUACCCGCUGAACUUAAGCAUAUCAAUAAGCGGAGGA
This 332-nucleotide unclassified non-coding RNA is filed under the name soil metagenome. RNAcentral describes it as "partial contains 5.8S ribosomal RNA, internal transcribed spacer 2, and large subunit ribosomal RNA". The stretch from base 1 to 120 matches the Rfam family "5.8S ribosomal RNA", at positions 35 to 154 of the family's 154-position model. The record is from RNAcentral.